UACGUAGGGUGCAAGCGUUAAUCGGAAUUACUGGGCGUAAAGCGUGCGCAGGCGGUUUUGUAAGUCUGUCGUGAAAUCCCCGGGCUCAACCUGGGAAUUGCGAUGGAGACUGCAAGGCUAGAAUCUGGCAGAGGGGGGUAGAAUUCCACGUGUGAGCAGUGAAAUGCGUAGAUAUGCGGAGGAACACCGAUGGCGAAGGCAAUCCCCUGGGCCUGCACUGACGCUCAUGCACGAAAGCGUGGGGAGCAAACAGG
This 254-nucleotide ribosomal RNA is filed under the name uncultured bacterium. RNAcentral describes it as "partial 16S ribosomal RNA". It matches the Rfam family "Bacterial small subunit ribosomal RNA", at positions 524 to 776 of the family's 1533-position model. The record is from RNAcentral.